Molecule: ribosomal RNA, 292 nt
Filed under: uncultured bacterium
Lineage: Bacteria
Description: partial 16S ribosomal RNA
Rfam family: Bacterial small subunit ribosomal RNA
Source: RNAcentral
GUGUCAGCAGCCGCGGUAAUACGGAGGAUGCAAGCGUUAUCCGGAAUGAUUGGGCGUAAAGGGUCCGCAGGUGGCAGUGUAAGUCUGCUGUCAAAGAAUGAGGCUUAACCUCAUCAAGGCAGUGGAAACUACACAGCUAGAGUACGGUCGGGGUAGAAGGAAUUCCUGGUGUAGCGGUGAAAUGCGUAGAGAUCAGGAAGAACACCGGUGGCGAAAGCGUUCUGCUAGACCUGUACUGACACUGAGGGACGAAAGCUAGGGGAGCGAAUGGGAUUAGAUACCCCAGUAGUCC